This 61-nucleotide transfer RNA is filed under the name bovine gut metagenome. It matches the Rfam family "tRNA", at positions 6 to 62 of the family's 71-position model. Rfam says of the family: Transfer RNA (tRNA) molecules are approximately 80 nucleotides in length. Their secondary structure includes four short double-helical elements and three loops (D, anti-codon, and T loops). Further hydrogen bonds mediate the characteristic L-shaped molecular structure. tRNAs have two regions of fundamental functional importance: the anti-codon, which is responsible for specific mRNA codon recognition, and the 3' end, to which the tRNAs corresponding amino acid is attached (by aminoacyl-tRNA synthetases). tRNAs cope with the degeneracy of the genetic code in two manners: having more than one tRNA (with a specific anti-codon) for a particular amino acid; and 'wobble' base-pairing, i.e. permitting non-standard base-pairing at the 3rd anti-codon position. The record is from RNAcentral.
CUUUAGCUCAGUCGGUUAGAGCAUCUGACUGUUAAUCAGGGGGUCCUUGGUUCAAGUCCAA